GGGGAGAUAGCUUAAUGGUAAAGCCUACUGCUCAUAACAGGAAAGAUGUAAGUUCAAAUCUUACUCUCCUCA
Molecule: transfer RNA, 72 nt
Filed under: Linderina macrospora
Lineage: Eukaryota; Fungi; Kickxellomycota; Kickxellomycetes; Kickxellales; Kickxellaceae
Also listed under: 52 other names
Description: tRNA-Met
Rfam family: tRNA
About the family: Transfer RNA (tRNA) molecules are approximately 80 nucleotides in length.
Source: RNAcentral